UACGGGGGGGCAAGCGUUGUUCGGAAUUACUGGGCGUAAAGGGCUCGUAGGUGGCCAACUAAGUCAGACGUGAAAUCCCUCGGCUUAACCGGGGAACUGCGUCUGAUACUGGAUGGCUUGAGUUCGGGAGAGGGAUGCGGAAUUCCAGGUGUAGCGGUGAAAUGCGUAGAUAUCUGGAGGAACACCGGUGGCGAAGGCGGGUUGCUGGGCUGACACUGACGCUGAUGCGCGAAAGCCAGGGGAGCGAACGGG
RNAcentral lists this ribosomal RNA (252 nucleotides) under uncultured bacterium. Its description in RNAcentral is "partial 16S ribosomal RNA". It matches the Rfam family "Bacterial small subunit ribosomal RNA", at positions 524 to 776 of the family's 1533-position model. The record is from RNAcentral.